This 253-nucleotide ribosomal RNA is filed under the name uncultured Rhodospirillales bacterium. RNAcentral's name for it is "partial 16S ribosomal RNA". It matches the Rfam family "Bacterial small subunit ribosomal RNA", at positions 524 to 776 of the family's 1533-position model. The record is from RNAcentral. Lineage: Bacteria; Pseudomonadati; Pseudomonadota; Alphaproteobacteria; Rhodospirillales.
UACGGAGGGGGCUAGCGUUGUUCGGAAUUACUGGGCGUAAAGGGCGCGUAGGCGGUUUACCCAGUCAGGCGUGAAAGGCCUGGGCUCAACCCGGGAACUGCGCUUGAUACUGGUAGACUCGAGUCCGGGAGAGGAUGGCGGAAUUCCCAGUGUAGAGGUGAAAUGCGUAGAUAUUGGGAAGAACACCGGUGGCGAAGGCGGCCAUCUGGACCGGCACUGACGCUGAGGCGCGAAAGCGUGGGGAGCAAACAGG